UUUUUUUUUUUUUUUUGAGAUGGAGUCUUGCUCUGUCACCCAGGCUGGAGAAGGGAGACAAUUUAAUAUGGAGAGAACCACCUUUGCAAUCAUUAUUACAUAUAUGAAAUGAUUCAAAUCUUCAAGAUGGGGUGUCAAUUAGAGUAAGUUCUUCUAUAAUACACAAAUCUAUCAAAACUCUAAUAAAGGAGAACUACCAAAUGAUCCAGCUAUCUUGCUUCUGGAUACAUAUGCAAAAGAUUUGAAAUCAGUGUAUUGAAGAGAUAUCAGUACUCCUAUGUUCACUGUAGCACUAGUCACAAUAGCCAAGGUGUGGAAUCAAACUAAGUGUCCAUCAGUAGAUAAACAGACACAGAAAACGUGGUGUGUAUAUAUACACAAUGGAAUACUAUUGAGCCUUAAAAAGAAGGAUGUUCUGUCAUUUGAGACAACAUGGUUGAACCUGGAAGACAGUAUGUUAACUGAAAUACACUAGGCACAGAAAUAAAAAUUCUGAAUCAUCUCACAUAUAUGUGAAAUCUAAAAAAGUCAAACUCAUAGAAGCAGAGAGUAGAAUGGUGACUACUGGGGCUGGGUGGGGUAGGAGGUGAGGAUGGGGAGAUGUUGGUCAAAGGGUACAAAGUUUCAAUUAGAGGGGAAAAUAACUUUUUGAGGUCUAUUGCACAGCAUGGUAACUAUAGUUAAUAACAAUGUAUUGCAAAAUUCUAAGUUGCUGUGUUUCUUUGUUUUUAAUUAAUUUUUUAAAUUGACAAUAAUUGUAGAUAUCAGGUUGGCUGGCAAGAUGGCUGAAUAAGAACAGUUCCAGUCUGCAGCUCCCAGCAAGAUAGACGUGGAAGGUGAGUGAUUUCUGCAUUUACAACUGAGGUACUCGGUUCAUCUCACUGGGACUGGUUGGACAGUGGGUGCAGCCCACAGAGGGCGAGCUGAAGCAGGGUGGGCUCACCUUGAUCCUCACCAGGGAAGCUCAAGGGGUCAGGAGAUUUCCCUUUCCUAGCCAAAGGAAGCCGUGACAGACUGUACUGGGAGAAACAGUACACUCCGGCCCAGAUACUGCGCUUUUCCAGUGGUCUUCGCAACCAGCAGACCAGGAGAUUCCCUCAGGUGCCUAGCUCAGCAGGUCCCACCUGCGUGGAGCCCAGCAAGCUCAGAUCCACUGGCUUGAAAUUCUCGCUGCUAGCACAGCAGUCUGAGGUUGACCUGAAACACUCGAGCUUGGCGGGGGAAGCCGAGUCUGACAUUGCUGAGGCUUGAGUAGGCAGUUUUACCCUCACAGUGUAAACAAAGUUGCCAGGGAAGUUCGAAUUGGGCGGAGCUCACCACAGCUCAGCAAGACCGACUGCCUCUCUAGUUUCCUCCUCUCUGGGCAGGGCAUCUCUGAAAAAAGGCAGCAGCUGCAGUCAGGGACUUACAGAUAAAACCCCCAUCUCCCUGGGACAGAGCACCUGGGGGAAGGGCCAGCUGUGGGCAUGGCUUCAGCAGACUUAAACAUCCCUGCUUGACAGC
This 1503-nucleotide long non-coding RNA is filed under the name Macaca fascicularis (crab-eating macaque). Its description in RNAcentral is "lncRNA (ENSMFAG00000060884.1)". Lineage: Eukaryota; Metazoa; Chordata; Mammalia; Primates; Cercopithecidae. The record is from RNAcentral.